This 497-nucleotide ribosomal RNA is filed under the name uncultured bacterium. Its description in RNAcentral is "partial 16S ribosomal RNA". It matches the Rfam family "Bacterial small subunit ribosomal RNA", at positions 28 to 507 of the family's 1533-position model. The record is from RNAcentral.
GAUGAACGCUGGCGGCGUGCCUAAUACACGCAAGUCGAGCGAACGGACGAGAAGCCUGCUUUUCUGAUGUUAGCGGCGGACGGGUGAGUAACACGUGGAUAACCUACCUAUAAGACUGGGAUAACUUCGGGAAACCGGAGCUAAUACCGGAUAAUAUUUUGAACCGCAUGGUUCAAAAGUGAAAGACGGUCUUGCUGUCACUUAUAGAUGGAUCCGCGCUGCAUUAGCUAGUCGGUAAGGUAACGGCUUACCAAGGCAACGAUGCAUAGCCGACCUGAGAGGGUGAUCGGCCACACUGGAACUGAGACACGGUCCAGACUCCUACGGGAGGCAGCAGUAGGGAAUCUUCCGCAAUGGGCGAAAGCCUGACGGAGCAACGCCGCGUGAGUGAUGAAGGUCUUCGGAUCGUAAAACUCUGUUAUUAGGGAAGAACAUAUGUGUAAGUAACUGUGCACAUCUUGACGGUACCUAAUCAGAAAGCCACGGCUAACUACGUG